This 1221-nucleotide ribosomal RNA is filed under the name Lachesilla anna. RNAcentral's name for it is "16S ribosomal RNA". Lineage: Eukaryota; Metazoa; Arthropoda; Insecta; Psocodea; Lachesillidae. The record is from RNAcentral.
UUAAAAAAUAUUAUUAAUAAAAAAAUUAAAUUUGGAUUAAAUUAUAAAAUAAUGGUUAUUUUAGUUAAAUUAUAAAAAAUUUAGAUUAAUAAUAGUUAAUAGUAUUGAGAAAUAAUUAGUUUAUAAUAAAGAAAGUUUUAUUAAAUAUUUGUACCUUUUGUAUCAGGGUUUAAAGAAUAGUAAAUAGAAAAAUUUUAAAUCUCGAAAAAUUAAGAUUUAAUUUUUUUUUAUUAUUAAUGUAGAAAAAUUAAUAUUAAAAAAAUAAUUGGUAGUGAAAAGCUAAUCGGUUAAUUAGGAUUCUAGUUUUUAAAGAAAUUAAUUUAAUUAAUAUUUUAAGUUUAUUAAAUAAUUUGUUAUAAAAAAUGACUUGAAAGAAAAUUAUAAAAAGUUUAGUUUUUAUAAUUUUUAUAUUUAUAAAAAAAAAUUUUUUUUAGAAUUGUUAUUGUUUAUAAUUAAUAAUUUUUUGAAAAGAAAAAUUUUUUGUUAUGAAUUUUUUUGUAAUUAAAAUUGUAUUUAAAUUUUUGUUUUAAUUAUAAAAACAAAGUAAGAAUUUUAAAAUUAGUAAAUAGAAAAAUUGUUUUAUAGGAACUCGGCAAAAUUAAUUUUCGCUUGUUUAUCAAAAACAUGUCUUUAAGAUUAGUUUUUAAAGUCCAAUCUGCCCACUGAUUUUUUGAAGGGCUGCAGUAUAAUGACUGUACAAAGGUAGCAUAAUCAAUAGUUUCUUAAUUGGGAACUGGAAUGAAUGAUUAGACGAGAAAUAAUCUUUCUUUAUAAUAAUAUAUUGAAUUUAAAAUUUAAGUGAAAAUGCUUAAAUUAUUUUAAAAGACGAGAAGACCCUAUAGAUUUUUAUUUUUUUUGAAAAAAAAAUUUUUCGAAGAAAAAUUUAAUUGGGGCGAUUUUGUGAUAUAAAAAUCUCAAUGUUAAAUUAACCAUAAAUAAUUGAAUUUUUUGAUCCAAAAGUUUUGACAAACAGAUUAAAUUACCUUAGGGAUAACAGCGUAAUUUUAUUUAAGAGUUCAUAUCUAUAAUAAAGAUUGCGACCUCGAUGUUGAAUUAAGAGCUUCAUUGGAGUAGAAAUUAAUGUUAAGUAGUCUGUUCGACUAUUAAAUUCUUACAUGAUUUGAGUUCAGACCGGCGUGAGCCAGGUCAGUUUCUAUCUUUAACUUAAUUUUAUUGAUGGGUACGAAAGGACAAUUAAUAAAUAAUAUUUAUUUUUAUUUU